RNAcentral lists this antisense RNA (194 nucleotides) under Serratia odorifera DSM 4582. Its description in RNAcentral is "Yersinia sRNA 251". It matches the Rfam family "Yersinia sRNA 251". From Rfam's summary of the family: Antisense to phoH gene. Trimmed on 5'end from the original size. The record is from Rfam by way of RNAcentral. Lineage: Bacteria; Pseudomonadati; Pseudomonadota; Gammaproteobacteria; Enterobacterales; Yersiniaceae.
UGUAGGCAUGGAGCGUACGUUGGCACAGGGCAGAACGUACGCAAUCUUGUUUAUCAAAACGGAUAAUACCGAUCAUCUCAUCCUCUUCGAAGCGCUCCAGCGCAUCGCUAAGGCCGGAUUUCACCCCGCGUGGCAAAUCACACUGGGUGACGUCACCGUUGACGAUAACCGUGACGUUUUCGCCCAGACGGGUC